UACGAAGGGGGCUAGCGUUGCUCGGAAUCACUGGGCGUAAAGGGUGCGUAGGCGGGUCUUUAAGUCAGGGGUGAAAUCCUGGAGCUCAACUCCAGAACUGCCUUUGAUACUGAGGAUCUUGAGUUCGGGAGAGGUGAGUGGAACUGCGAGUGUAGAGGUGAAAUUCGUAGAUAUUCGCAAGAACACCAGUGGCGAAGGCGGCUCACUGGCC
RNAcentral lists this ribosomal RNA (211 nucleotides) under uncultured bacterium. Its description in RNAcentral is "partial 16S ribosomal RNA". It matches the Rfam family "Bacterial small subunit ribosomal RNA", at positions 524 to 734 of the family's 1533-position model. The record is from RNAcentral.